Molecule: ribosomal RNA, 663 nt
Filed under: uncultured bacterium
Lineage: Bacteria
Description: bacterial SSU rRNA
Rfam family: Bacterial small subunit ribosomal RNA
Source: RNAcentral
GAGUUUGAACCUGGCUCAGGAUGAACGCUGGCGGCGUGCCUAAUACAUGCAAGUCGAGCGAACCACUUCGGUGGUGAGCGGCGAACGGGUGAGUAACACGUAGGUGAUCUGCCCAUCAGACGGGGACAACGAUUGGAAACGAUCGCUAAUACCGGAUAGGACGAAAGUUUAAAGGUGCUUCUGGCACCGCUGAUGGAUGAGCCUGCGGCGCAUUAGCUAGUUGGUAGGGUAAAGGCCUACCAAGGCGACGAUGCGUAGCCGACCUGAGAGGGUGAACGGCCACACUGGGACUGAGACACGGCCCAGACUCCUACGGGAGGCAGCAGUAGGGAAUCUUCGGCAAUGGGCGAAAGCCUGACCGAGCAACGCCGCGUGAAUGAUGAAGGCCUUCGGGUUGUAAAAUUCUGUUAUAAGGGAAGAACGACUUUAGUAGGAAAUGGCUAGAGUGUGACGGUACCUUAUGAGAAAGCCACGGCUAACUACGUGCCAGCAGCCGCGGUAAUACGUAGGUGGCGAGCGUUAUCCGGAAUUAUUGGGCGUAAAGAGCGCGCAGGUGGUUGAUUAAGUCUGAUGUGAAAGCCCACGGCUUAACCGUGGAGGGUCAUUGGAAACUGGUCGACUUGAGUGCAGAAGAGGGAAGUGGAAUUCCAUGUGUAGCGGUGA